This 253-nucleotide unclassified non-coding RNA is filed under the name uncultured Parcubacteria group bacterium. RNAcentral describes it as "contains 16S-23S intergenic spacer region". It matches the Rfam family "Bacterial small subunit ribosomal RNA", at positions 524 to 776 of the family's 1533-position model. The record is from RNAcentral.
UACGUGAGCUCCAAGUGUUAUCCGGAAUCACUGGGCGUAAAGGGUGUGUAGGCGGUCAUAUUAGUCUUUUGUGAAAGAUCUCGGCUCAACCGAGGAAACGCAAGGGAAACGGUAUGACUUGAGGGUGUGAGAGGUGUACAGAACUCACGGUGUAGGGGUGAAAUCCGUUGAUAUCGUGGGGAAUACCAAAAGCGAAGGCAGUACACUGGCACAUUCCUGACGCUGAAACACGAAAGCUAGGGUAGCGAACGGG